This 110-nucleotide non-coding RNA is filed under the name Geobacillus sp. Its description in RNAcentral is "SAM-I sequence". It matches the Rfam family "SAM riboswitch aptamer (S box leader)". Rfam says of the family: The SAM riboswitch is found upstream of a number of genes which code for proteins involved in methionine or cysteine biosynthesis in Gram-positive bacteria. The SAM riboswitch acts at the level of transcription termination control. The predicted structure consists of a complex stem-loop region followed by a single stem loop terminator region. Lineage: Bacteria; Bacillati; Bacillota; Bacilli; Caryophanales; Anoxybacillaceae. The record is from RNAcentral.
CUCUUAUCAAGAGAGGUGGAGGGAUGUGCCCAAUGAAGCCCGGCAACCGUCAGCGCUUGCGCUGAAAUGGUGCCAAUUCACACAAAGCAGCCUGCUUUGAGAGAUAAGAG